Drosophila virilis is the source of this 889-nucleotide non-coding RNA. The record is from RefSeq and is a predicted model, not a curated record. NCBI's taxonomy places the organism in Eukaryota, Metazoa, Arthropoda, Insecta, Diptera, Drosophilidae.
CAGAAACUUCAAAAAGGCUCCAACUUUAUUAAAUGGCCUGCGCACGCUCUUAUUUUGUCGCUCUCUGUUUCUGUCUUUGUCAUCUACGCGCGCUCUCGCUGAACGAAAUGAUAUCGACGCUCGCUAAGCUGCCACUUUACUCCCCCCGCCCACUGAACCCUGCCCACAUCAACGACAAUUCUAACACUUCAUUGGAGCCGUUUGCGUUGCGUUGCGUUGCGUUACGUUGCGACGGCAACGACGCGUCGUCAAGUCAUUUGAUUCCCACACAAAUCUCUGCAUACUGAGCGGACGCGAGAGUCGCUACCCAUUAUAGCAAGUGAGUUAUGAGCCUGUGUCAGUGUGUGUGUGUGCGAGUGUUUGUACUGCGCUUUCUAUUGAUUUAUAUGUAUGAGCUUUAUGGCGCAAUUUGAGUGCUUUGCAACGAGUACAAAGCUCAACAAGAAGAAGAGAUGAAGUAAACACAUUUUGAAUUUACAAGUGCUGCCAAAGACAAUGCGUAGAUGACAGCCCAACAUUUAAUUGCGGACGAGCGCGUUUUGUUAACAAACGGGCGCUGGGAAUAAAUUAUGAUGCCCUGGCCACUCUUAACAAAGGAGCCGAACAGCUGGUAGCGCCCCGUGCACACAAACGGAGAAGAAGAAGAACCAUACAAAAUGACAGAUGGCGACGUCAGCGCCGACGCCGGCAGCAGGACACGAAUGUCAAAACAAAAACAUUUCGAGCGCGAUUGCGGCCGCCUUCAAAAUACUAACCUGUAAAAUGUGUGGCAAAGGCGAUUUUCCACUAUUUUGUCGUCGCUUCAAUUUCCAAAAAGUAACGACAUAAAGCGAGGUAAUCACAUUAAAAAACAACCGCGACGAAAGUUGACACACAAAAGUAAACAAAU